This 159-nucleotide ribosomal RNA is filed under the name Acanthamoeba sp. A9 DEA-2009. Its description in RNAcentral is "partial 18S ribosomal RNA". It matches the Rfam family "Eukaryotic small subunit ribosomal RNA", at positions 980 to 1096 of the family's 1831-position model. The record is from RNAcentral. Lineage: Eukaryota; Discosea; Longamoebia; Acanthamoebidae.
AGAACGAAAGUUAGGGGAUCGAAGACGAUCAGAUACCGUCGUAGUCUUAACCAUAAACGAUGCCGACCAGCGAUUAGGAGACGUUGAAUACAAAACACCGCCGUUAAUCCUUUCGGGGGUUAAUGGUUGGUGAAUGACUCCCCUAGCAGCUUGUGAGAA